Caenorhabditis elegans is the source of this 21-nucleotide non-coding RNA. Lineage: Eukaryota; Metazoa; Nematoda; Chromadorea; Rhabditida; Rhabditidae. The record is from Ensembl.
UCUCAUGCGAUAGAAUUAGAC